AAUCGGGUGUUUGUGCAAUCGACAUAAUGAUCAGUCAAUUUCGUCAAACCACGUAUGCUGACUAUUUUUGUCACCUGAUUUAUUGGAUAAUUAAAUCAGUUGUCGUAAGAUGUGAAUUUAAUCUGUUAUAAGAUCGCUUUAUUAUAUAAAGUAAAAUCGGAUGAUAUUUUUUAUGUUGAUUAGUAAGCAAACAAAAUAGAAUUUCGUAGUGUUUUUCAAAAUGGUUCCGGGAGUAGAAGCAGCAUAAGAUUUUUCGUCGGAUAAUUCUAUAUAUUUCAGACAAAUUUCCUGUUGCACUUCUACAUUUCGCAAAAGAUUUAUUUUGUCUUUCAUCUCAGAUGCUUGGAACAGAAACUGUUUAUAGACAGGGCACUGGAUGGUUACCGGGAUCGGAGCCGAUCCAAAGCCCUCAUUCAACUCCCCGGCUGUACGAGCAACAUCUAAAGCUUAACCGGCUGGUUCGAUAACUUUAAUAGGAGGAUUACGCUGUUCAGAGGUGCCACUGAAGGUAUGGAUCGGCUGCGAUGUAAGUUAAAAUAUAAGUUCAAAUUAAAACUUAACUUUCAACUUUAUACAUGGAUUAAUCAGCCAAUUUAGU
Long non-coding RNA from Wyeomyia smithii (pitcher-plant mosquito), 598 nucleotides. RefSeq lists it as uncharacterized. Lineage: Eukaryota; Metazoa; Arthropoda; Insecta; Diptera; Culicidae. The record is from RefSeq and is a predicted model, not a curated record. The transcript is spliced from 3 exons.